Non-coding RNA from Pelobates cultripes (western spadefoot toad), 167 nucleotides. The record is from the annotation of a GenBank genome assembly. NCBI's taxonomy places the organism in Eukaryota, Metazoa, Chordata, Amphibia, Anura, Pelobatidae.
CACUGACCCUUCACCUUGCUUCCUUGAGCUUCUGGGAAAGAUAUCUCCAAUGAGUAUUUUUUUUAUAUACAUCCUUAUAUACUUAUUAACCCUUGAUAAUACCCCUCUCUGUCUCAUUGGAGAUAUCUUUGCCAGAAGCUCAAGGAAGCAAGGUGAAGGGUCAGUGU